GAUGAACGCUGGCGGCGUGCCUAAUACAUGCAAGUCGAGCGAACAGACGAGGAGCUUGCUCCUCUGACGUUAGCGGCGGACGGGUGAGUAACACGUGGAUAACCUACCUAUAAGACUGGGAUAACUUCGGGAAACCGGAGCUAAUACCGGAUAACAUGAUGAACCGCAUGGUUCAACAGUGAAAGACGGUCUUGCUGUCACUUAUAGAUGGAUCCGCGCCGCAUUAGCUAGUUGGUAAGGUAACGGCUUACCAAGGCAACGAUGCGUAGCCGACCUGAGAGGAUGAUCGGCCACACUGGAACUGAGACACGGUCCAGACUCCUACGGGAGGCAGCAGUAGGGAAUCUUCCGCAAUGGGCGAAAGCCUGACGGAGCAACGCCGCGUGAGUGAUGAAGGUCUUCGGAUCGUAAAACUCUGUUAUUAGGGAAGAACAAAUGUGUAAGUAACUAUGCACGUCUUGACGGUACCUAAUCAGAAAGCCACGGCUAACUACGUG
This 497-nucleotide ribosomal RNA is filed under the name uncultured bacterium. RNAcentral's name for it is "partial 16S ribosomal RNA". It matches the Rfam family "Bacterial small subunit ribosomal RNA", at positions 28 to 507 of the family's 1533-position model. The record is from RNAcentral.